This is a long non-coding RNA of Cucurbita pepo subsp. pepo (vegetable marrow), 1248 nucleotides long. RefSeq lists it as uncharacterized. Lineage: Eukaryota; Viridiplantae; Streptophyta; Magnoliopsida; Cucurbitales; Cucurbitaceae. The record is from RefSeq and is a predicted model, not a curated record.
AAGGAAUGUGUUCCCCUCUACAACCGAUGUGGGAUCUCACAUGUGGAGAGUUUGGUAUGGAUGUAAACUGGAAGGAUAGGCAGAGAAAAAACUAAGGCAAAAUGUGCUGUCUAAUUUGACAAGAGAGGAGAAGAAGGGAGUGGAUUUGGGUCAUUCAGCAAUUAAUAGGGGGAGGAUAAUCCAUGGAAACAAAAAGAGGAAGAGAUUAGGUUAGGUUUUCCCGUGAAGUCAUUACAAGACAAUGAAAUAUAAGCCACUACUUUCUGGUGGUUCUAACUUGACUGUGUCUGAAUUGCAAGGAUUUUUUACAAUUCCAUGGCAGGACUCUCAAAAGGGAUGGUUUUGCUGAUGUCAGAAUCUCAUGAGAAUUGUGGAAAGCUCUACCUGGCAAAAGGGAAAGAGGGAACUGUGAUGUCACCCAUUGGAUGAUCAUAUUCAAAUUAUUCUUCUUCCUGACUUGACAAAUCUUGAAAUGAAGGUUGAUUCAAGUGGGAUAACCCCAAUUCCUGCCUGAAAGGAUCAUAAAAGUUUGGAAAAUUCUUUUGAUAAUUGAAAUUUGGAAGCUCCUGUUUUGUUAAUGCUAGAUUGCAGGGGGAUAUACGUUCAUUGUGUAUGAACAAAAGUAUAUAUUAUGCAUGUUAAAUGGAGAGAUCUUUGAUACUUGACCCUUUUUAAUUAGUUUUAGUAGCAAUAGCCUGAAAGGGGUAGCCCAGUGUCCGAAUUUUUUGGCGAGUUCAAUAAGGAUGAUGCCCGAUGUCUCCGAAGUUUGUGCCUUCUUCCUACGCGAAUAAAGUUAUAUGUUGCUUAAGCCAUUGUGUUACAUUUUGCUGGCAUGCCAUAUAACAUUGUUUUCAAUCUUGCUUUCGAACCCUCUUUCAAAAUCUCACUGCCCCUUUUUUCUAUUUUUUUUUUUUCUCGAUAAGGGUCAGAGGCUUGAACAUAUGUUGCCCGACCGCAGGCGACGUGAAUAUAAAUUAGCUUGACUCACUUGGUGUUGGAAAGUAAGUGCCACAUAAUCACAAAGUCCGCUAUCAAGAAAAGUGUGAUCGUGACAAGGGCACAAACGUUAAAAAAAAAUGAUAUCAUCCAUUAUGAACUGUACAACAGUUCCAAUUCAAAGAAUCAAGCUCUUCCACUCAAAAAAUGAAUUGUGAUACCACCCAUUGGAUGAUCAUAUCCAAAUUCUUCCUCAGCUUGACUCAAUAACUCUUGAAAUGAAGGUUGGUUCAAGCAAGAUAGCGGAAUGAC